RNAcentral lists this long non-coding RNA (200 nucleotides) under Pongo abelii (Sumatran orangutan). RNAcentral's name for it is "lincRNA". The record is from RNAcentral. Lineage: Eukaryota; Metazoa; Chordata; Mammalia; Primates; Hominidae.
CCUAAUUUUUGAAGUAUUUUUUUCUUAGAAAUUUUACUGAAUCCAAAAUAAAACAAGAAGAUCAUGAGUCCAGAAUUCUCUUUUCUCAACACUAGAUGGCAGUAGAGUUAAAGAAAAAACAUCCCAGCAGUUCUUUGUACAGGGAUUUGGUGAUUUUUCCCAUAAAGCUGCGAUGAGGAUGGACUCAGAGCAAAAUCUAU